CAGUAGCCGCGGGAAUACGGAGGGGGCUAGCGUUGUUCGGAAUUACUGAGCGUAAAGCGCACGUAGGCGGCUUGGUAAGUUAGAGGUGAAAGCCUGGAGCUCAACUCUAGAAUUGCCUUUAAGACUGCCGAGCUAGCAGGUGAGAGAGGUAAGUGGAAUUCCGAGUGUAGAGGUGAAAUGCGUAGAUAUGCGGAGGAACACCGAUGGCGAAGGCAGCCCCCUGGGCCGACACUGACGCUCAUGCACGAAAGCGUGGGGAGCAAACAGGAUUAGAUACCCCCGUAGUCCCUGUCUCUUAUCC
RNAcentral lists this ribosomal RNA (301 nucleotides) under uncultured bacterium. RNAcentral's name for it is "partial 16S ribosomal RNA". It matches the Rfam family "Bacterial small subunit ribosomal RNA", at positions 509 to 809 of the family's 1533-position model. The record is from RNAcentral.